GAUUGCAGAUCCCGUGACCAUCGAGUUUUUGAACGCAAGUUGCGCCCGAAGCCGUCUCGGCGGUGGAGGGCACGUCUGCCUGGGUGUCAAGAAACGUCGCCAAACGUCCCUCUCCGCACCCUCCCGCCCGAGGGGGGAAGCAUCGAGGGGACGGGCGGACAUUGGCCUCCCGUGCGCGGUUGCUCGCGGUUGGCCCAAAAGAGAGUACCCCGGCGAGGCAGCCACGACGUGCGGUGGCAGAAAGCGUAUGCUCUCCUCGAACACCGUCGUGGGCCGACCUCGCGGGGCGUGAAAGACUAAGGCCCCGAUGCGAAGUCGUUUUUCGCGAAGCGACCCCAGGUCAGGCGGGAGCACCCGCUGAGUUUAAGCAUAUCAAUAAGCGGAGGAA
Molecule: ribosomal RNA, 388 nt
Filed under: Salacia beddomei
Lineage: Eukaryota; Viridiplantae; Streptophyta; Magnoliopsida; Celastrales; Celastraceae
Also listed under: 1 other name
Description: eukaryotic LSU rRNA
Rfam family: Eukaryotic large subunit ribosomal RNA (bases 331-388)
Source: RNAcentral